Molecule: ribosomal RNA, 301 nt
Filed under: uncultured bacterium
Lineage: Bacteria
Description: partial 16S ribosomal RNA
Rfam family: Bacterial small subunit ribosomal RNA
Source: RNAcentral
CAGCAGCCGCGGGAAUACGUAGGUGGCAAGCGUUGUCCGGAAUUAUUGGGCGUAAAAGGCUCGCAGGCGGUUUCUUAAGUCUGAUGUGAAAGCCCCCGGCUCAACCGGGGAGGGUCAUUGGAAACUGGGAAACUUGAGUGCAGAAGAGGAGAGUGGAAUUCCACGUGUAGCGGUGAAAUGCGUAGAGAUGUGGAGGAACACCAGUGGCGAAGGCGACUCUCUGGUCUGCAACUGACGCUGAGGAGCGAAAGCGUGGGGAGCGAACAGGAUUAGAUACCCCUGUAGUCCCUGUCUCUUAUAC